This 442-nucleotide ribosomal RNA is filed under the name uncultured bacterium. RNAcentral describes it as "partial 16S ribosomal RNA". It matches the Rfam family "Bacterial small subunit ribosomal RNA", at positions 339 to 795 of the family's 1533-position model. The record is from RNAcentral.
CUACGGGUUGCUGCAGUGGGGGAUAUUGCACAAUGGAGGAAACUCUGAUGCAGCAACGCCGCGUGAGGGAAGAAGGUUUUCGGAUUGUAAACCUCUGUCCUUGGUGAAGAAACAAAUGACGGUAGCCAAGGAGGAAGCCACGGCUAACUACGUGCCAGCAGCCGCGGUAAUACGUAGGUGGCAAGCGUUGUCCGGAUUUACUGGGUGUAAAGGGUGCGCAGGCGGGACUGCAAGUUGGAUGUGAAAUACCGAGGCUUAACUUCGGGGCUGCAUCCAAAACUGUGGUUCUUGAGAGAUGUAGAGGUAAGCGGAAUUCCGAGUGUAGCGGUGAAAUGCGUAGAUAUUCGGAGGAACACCAGUGGCGAAGGCGGCUUACUGGGCAUUUUCUGACGCUGAGGCACGAAAGUGUGGGGAGCAAACAGGAUUAGAUACCCGGGUAGUC